GUGGAGGCUCACUGGUAGAGCGCUUGCCUAGCAGGCAUGAGGCACUGGGUUCAAUCCCUGGCACCACA
Molecule: transfer RNA, 68 nt
Filed under: Ictidomys tridecemlineatus (thirteen-lined ground squirrel)
Lineage: Eukaryota; Metazoa; Chordata; Mammalia; Rodentia; Sciuridae
Description: Spermophilus tridecemlineatus (thirteen-lined ground squirrel) tRNA
Rfam family: tRNA
About the family: Transfer RNA (tRNA) molecules are approximately 80 nucleotides in length. Their secondary structure includes four short double-helical elements and three loops (D, anti-codon, and T loops).
Source: Rfam by way of RNAcentral